Molecule: long non-coding RNA, 950 nt
Organism: Rattus norvegicus (Norway rat)
Lineage: Eukaryota; Metazoa; Chordata; Mammalia; Rodentia; Muridae
Source: RefSeq, a predicted model, not a curated record
UAACCGCCAUCUUUGCAACCGCCAUCUUUGUAACCGCCAUCUUUGUAAUCGCCAUCAUGACCACUACCACCGCCGUCAUAAUCAUCACUAUCACUUCUACCACUAUCAUCACCAUUGGUCUUACAGUCUGAUACCAUGUUCAUCACCACCGUCGCGUUGGACCUCAUUGCGGUCACCACCACGACCAUCAUCACUAUCCUCGUCUGAGCUUACUGAGAGGAGCCUCCGCAGUAAGAGAAAAGUCAGCUAAUAUUCUAGAAGACAGAUAUGUUGCUAGGGUAACUGAAGGCUGAAACAUAUCCCAGUUGACAGAACUGCAGAAACAUGCCCAAAGAAGAUAAUCCCUCUCGGCAACUGUUGUGCAUGGGCUUCUGAAGAUAGCGCAGCUGACACACAGGACUGCCCAUCAGCACUUCCCAGAACCAAGAAGCAGAACGGUGGCCACACAAGACAAGUUCUGUCUUAGGGGUGGCUUGCCUAUCCUUCCCGUUGAUAAGACGCAGUGUGUUUUCCACGGGGAGCCUCCUGAUGUGGAAGCCUGCUUCGCCUUGUCAAGCCAGCGAAGCCAAGUCAAGUUCCCAGCCAUGGUCACCUUUGCAUAGAAUAUCCCCAUCAGUAAGAUAAUACAUUCAGAGGAAGAAAUCACAGUGAGACAGGAAGGGCAAGAAGCGAGGAUGGGAAUAUGGACAAUGAGAGGAGAGAUGAGCUGUCUGGACGUGGCUUCUGAGAACUCAACUCCUGCCUCCAACUCUCUGCCCCUGCAUGGAGACAACUACCCAUUGACCUAUCUGAAGAAUUGGCUGUCACGGGGCCACCCUUUUUCUGUGGCUUUGUCAGACACCAAAAGUCCAACUGUAAUCGGGAAGACCGUGUUCCUGUGUUGAUCUUUUGUAGUCAUUCACACUCUGCCCUUCUCCAUCCUUCUCAGUAAACAGUGUCUUGGCAGUGGC